Molecule: ribosomal RNA, 352 nt
Filed under: uncultured bacterium
Lineage: Bacteria
Description: bacterial SSU rRNA
Rfam family: Bacterial small subunit ribosomal RNA
Source: RNAcentral
AAGUGGAGCAAUCCAUGAGUACAGUGGCGACCGGGUGAGUAACACGUGACCAAUCUACCCUCGAGUGGGGGAUAACUCCGGGAAACCGGGGCUAAUACCGCAUAACAUCUUCGGAUCGGAAGAUCUGGGGAUCAAAGGAGCAAUUCGCUUGAGGAGGAGGUCGCGGCUGAUUAGCUAGUUGGCGGGGUAAUGGCCCACCAAGGCGAAGAUCGGUAGCCGGCCUGAGAGGGCGCACGGCCACACUGGAACUGAAACACGGUCCAGACUCCUACGGGAGGCAGCAGUGGGGAAUUUUGCGCAAUGGGGGAAACCCUGACGCAGCAACGCCGCGUGGAGGAUGAAGUCCCUUGGG